Long non-coding RNA from Drosophila montana, 2789 nucleotides. RefSeq lists it as uncharacterized. The record is from RefSeq and is a predicted model, not a curated record. Lineage: Eukaryota; Metazoa; Arthropoda; Insecta; Diptera; Drosophilidae. The transcript is spliced from 3 exons.
UAUAAAGUACAGCUCAGCAUGUCAUUUAUAUCUGAAGCGCGGGCGAGUUAAGUUCAUAACAUUUUUUUUCUUUGCAAAUAAUUUUGCUAAGACGUCAAAGACCAAGAUUGCAAUUGUGGUACAGUUUGAAUGUGUUCUUUUGGUACGCUAAUAGAAACCAAAAACCUUCAUAGCAACUCCACCCACUAACCUAAUUGUGAUUCGGGGUGAGCCUUAAAGAAAAGGUAUUUAUAUGUGCUAGUGUUGAGACUUGGAACUAAUUAAGGCUUCCACAGUUUCCGUGCCUGCUCAGUUGACUAGAGCCGUUCCAUUCGUCAGUAGCUUGCUAACAAAGAGCAGCGGUAAUAUUUAGACGUACUAGUCGGCGCUACCAGAGGGGGAGAUCGGACCAGACAAGGGCAACACCAAAAGCACGUGUUGCGCUUAGCAACCCAGUAGGACCAAUUUUGUUGCUAUUUUACUUAUCAGCAGCUGUCUUGCGAAGAACAACAUCUGGCAUAGCCUCGAAGAACGGCGUCAAGCGGGUGAAACGCUUACUACUUAUGCAGCACCAUCGGGGCCGCAUGCACUAAGCAUAUAGCGUAACCUGCAGAGAGUAACGAAUGAGCUGACAACAGCGAUCCUAAUCGUCGUAUACAUUGGGCCUAACGUCUGCUUCGAAGGAUAUCGCCAACAUCUGCACCAGCCAUACAGACAGCAGUAGUAUCCCAACACAGUCCACAUUCGAAACUAAGCUGAACUCCAAAACACCACAGCACUUCCCCCAGCGCUGUAACUCCUGACAAGGUAGUCUUCAGUUAGUUGGCUCCGAUCCAUUAACGAUCGGAAUAGAUUUCAUGCUCUGAGUAGCGAUUCAGAUGAUGAAUCAGUGGAUUAGCGAAGUCCUGGAAAAUAUGUCCACAACCUACGCAGAUUCGCUGUCAAAUCUCCUGGACGAUAUUCAACAUUAUGCAGAACAAUUUGGCUCCCCCCACCGACACGAAACAGGAGGCCGACGAGAGCCCCAACGCUUAUACCUUUAUAGCCUUUAUGCCUUCAAAUCCUGACCGUUGCAGAGCCACUCCUAAUCCAGGAAGCCCAGACCAAAAGCAACCUCAACCUACAACGCCUAACGUUCAUCCAAUAUCUCUCCUAAGCAUUACCAAGAAUUACAGUAGAGGGUACAAUUUGGCUAUAUGCCCAAGAUGCAUGCACAUUAAAAGGUAUUUAAAAACUAUGAAACUUCUAACAUUGAGUUCUACACGUACCAGCUCAAAGAGAAGCGGCCGGAUAAAACAAACUAUAAAUGGUCUACAUGUCUUAACAACGCACGCCAAGAUCAACAACGACCUUAAGGCUCGAGGGCACGAAGCUUCACAUAUUCACUGCCCAGAUAACACAAUAAGAACGGACAAACCAAUUCUAGACUCUGGUGGCAACAAGGCCCAUAUUAAAAACAUAGUCUAUAUUGCAGGCUAGAGAUGCCAUCAAGCAGUGACAGUCUCUUUACGGAAGGCGAAUUGUCCAUUGUUUGACAAUUCAUCACCCCAACACAGCACGUGGUUGCAACGACAACCGAACCACUCCCAGCAGCAGAAUUACCUAAACAUAAUAUACAACAACGUUACCAAUAAAAGUUUCCCACAAAUCGCACUGAAAACUACCCUUCUAUGGACCGUGCUGCAGAAUCGCAUGUUUGCGUUACUCCUUUGCUGGAACGCAGGCGCCGUACCAGCGAAAAUCUACAAGUUAAAACCCAUAACAUGGUAAAUAAUGCACUUUUAAACAAGACAAUUGCCCAUUGUUUGACAAUUCAUCACCCCAACACAGCACGUGGGUGCAACGACAACCGAACCACUCCCAGCAGCAGAAUUACCUAAACCUAAUAUACAACAACGUUACCAAUAAAAGUUCCCCACAAACCGCACUGAAAACUACCCUUCUAUGGACCGUGCUGCAGAAUCGCAUGUUUAGGUGCGUUACUCCUUUGCUGGAACGCGGGCGCCAUACUAGCGAAAAUUCACAAGUUAAAACCCUUAACAUGGUAAAUAAUGCACAUUUAAACAAGACCCCUAUGCGAGACCUAGAGUUUAACUGCAUUUCAGCGUACUCCCCCUUACCCAAUCAAUUACCCCCCCAACCAACGCUGGAGUGACCCGCAAUUUUUAUCUACAGUGGUAUUUCGCGGUAUUUAACGAUCCUUAUAAAUAUAACCAAAUUUCUCUACAUCUCUCUUGUUCUCCUUAUCCUUGAAUACUGAGUCAGCACAGAAGCAUUUUCUGCUUUUUGCCUUACGUGGUUUAAAUUGGAACCGCAAUCUUCGGUUGCCACUUUUCUCCAGCAGACUUCUUCAUCUUGAUCUUCCGUCGUUAACCGUACGACAAUCCAUGUCUUUCUACAUAAAUUGAUUAUUGGCGACAUAGAUUCUUCUUUUUUGUCAGGGCGUCUUCAAUUAUCUGCUCCGUCCAGACAUACCAGGAAUUAUCGCACCAAUCACCAUCUCCUUAUCCUAUCUACUUAAGACCCUAUAUAUUAGUAUAAAUUUCUUUACUUUUCCAAUAACUUUUUUAUACCCUUGCAGAGGGUAUUAUAAUUUUGUCGUGAAAUGUGUAACGCAUAGAAGGAGACAUCUCCGACCCCAUAAAGUAUAUAUAUCCAUGAUCAGUAUCAUCAACCGAGUCGAUAUAGCCAUGUCCGUCUGUCCGGCUGUCCGUCUGUCUGUUUCUAUGCGAACUAGUCUCUCAGUUUUAAAGCUAUCUUUAUGAAACUUUGCAGAAGUUCCUCUUUCCGUUACAUAUGUACUAUGUGUC